GAAUUCCCACCGAGCAAGAACUAGCCAUUCACUCGUAGCGAGUCUUGGAGGAUGUGGAGUAAUUCAUGUCUUUAAGCGUAGACAGUUAGAUAAUGGGCCGUAAGCCAAUUGGUUGAAGGGAUUGAGCUCCGAAAUACCAAGUCAAGAGGGCUGAUGUAAUUGUCUGUACAGAAAGCAAUACUUCUACUAACGUAAUGGCAAGAUAGUAGAAGCCUCUUCGGAGUCGAUGACCU
Anaerobacillus sp. is the source of this 233-nucleotide non-coding RNA. Lineage: Bacteria; Bacillati; Bacillota; Bacilli; Caryophanales; Bacillaceae. The record is from Rfam.